RNAcentral lists this ribosomal RNA (377 nucleotides) under uncultured Verrucomicrobiota bacterium. RNAcentral describes it as "bacterial SSU rRNA". It matches the Rfam family "Bacterial small subunit ribosomal RNA", at positions 521 to 896 of the family's 1533-position model. The record is from RNAcentral. Lineage: Bacteria; Pseudomonadati; Verrucomicrobiota.
UAAUACUGAGGUCCCAAGCGUUGUUCGGAUUUACUGGGCGUAAAGGGUGCGUAGGCGGCUAUAAAAGUUUGGUGUGAAAUCUUCGGGCUCAACCCGGAAACUGCAUUGAAAACUAGAUGGCUAGAGGAUCGGAGAGGAGAUUGGAAUUCUCAGUGUAGCAGUGAAAUGCGUAGAUAUUGAGAGGAACACCAGUUGCGAAGGCGGAUCUCUGGACGGUUCCUGACGCUGAGGCACGAAAGCUGGGGUAGCGAAGAGGAUUAGAUACCCUCGUAGUCCCAGCCGUAAACGGUGCGCACUUGCUGUGGGCGGAUUCGACCCCGUCUGUGGCGAAGCUAACGCGAUAAGUGCGCCGCCUGGGGAGUACGGUCGCAAGAUUA